Molecule: ribosomal RNA, 599 nt
Filed under: Campylobacter jejuni
Lineage: Bacteria; Pseudomonadati; Campylobacterota; Epsilonproteobacteria; Campylobacterales; Campylobacteraceae
Description: partial 23S ribosomal RNA
Rfam family: Bacterial large subunit ribosomal RNA
Source: RNAcentral
AAUGAGCCUGCGAGUUGUGGUGUCUGGCAAGGUUAAGCAAACGCGAAGCCGUAGCGAAAGCGAGUCUGAAUAGGGCGCUUAGUCAGAUGCUGCAGACCCGAAACGAAGUGAUCUAUCCAUGAGCAAGUUGAAGCUAGUGUAAGAACUAGUGGAGGACUGAACCCAUAGGCGUUGAAAAGCCCCGGGAUGACUUGUGGAUAGGGGUGAAAGGCCAAUCAAACUUCGUGAUAGCUGGUUCUCUCCGAAAUAUAUUUAGGUAUAGCGUUGUGUCGUAAUAUAAGGGGGUAGAGCACUGAAUGGGCUAGGGCAUACACCAAUGUACCAAACCCUAUCAAACUCCGAAUACCUUAUAUGUAAUCACAGCAGUCAGGCGGCGAGUGAUAAAAUCCGUCGUCAAGAGGGAAACAACCCAGACUACCAGCUAAGGUCCCUAAAUCUUACUUAAGUGGAAAACGAUGUGAAGUUACUUAAACAACCAGGAGGUUGGCUUAGAAGCAGCCAUCCUUUAAAGAAAGCGUAAUAGCUCACUGGUCUAGUGAUUUUGCGCGGAAAAUAUAACGGGGCUAAAGUAAGUACCGAAGCUGUAGACUUGCGCACAA